RNAcentral lists this long non-coding RNA (3361 nucleotides) under Homo sapiens (human). RNAcentral's name for it is "HSALNT0381395". Lineage: Eukaryota; Metazoa; Chordata; Mammalia; Primates; Hominidae. The record is from RNAcentral.
AAAGAAAAAAAAAUGGGGCAAGCUUGUCCUGCCAGGAGAGGAUGACUGGGACUAACCAACUGAGGAAACACUGUGUUUUCAUCUCCCAUGUAAUUCCCAAAUAGGACCUGUGUUUGAGCAGCAUGGCACCAUUUAUAUAAUUUUUUCUCUCUCUAGCUCAUGUAGGAUAAUUUGAGUUAAGUCCACUUACGAUGAAACGCCACUGUUGAUGGAAAAUAUUUUCUCUUGAGUGUCAUGCUUCUUAAUAUUUGGAUUUGAAUACAUUUGCUCGGUUUAACCAGAUUCUGUUUCAACUAGUCCCACCGAAACCAGGGUUUUCACUCAGUUAUGUUACACUGUACUAGAGUAUUAUGGCUCUACAUGUCUAAACAUCUUCAAUUGGAAUUUUGAAACAGAGCAAUGGGGCAUGAAUCCUGAGCUUUGUCAUUUAUUUAUGACUUGAGAAGCUCUCUGGAUACCAUGUGUAUCUCAAAGGAAACGGAGAGUGGCCUUGGCCUGUGGAGCUCUGACUCUCAAUCCCAUGCUCCUUUCUGUAUGUAUCUCUAGGAUCUGAGCGGAUGCCUGAAGGACCACACCUGAGCUUUGGCAAAGUAUUUUAUCACUGGGUUUUGCUACCUUGUUUUGUGAUGUCACAAGAGAAAACUCAAUUUAGGCUGAGGCUGAGCCCAGAUCAAUAUGGAGCUACCUGUGCCCCUGCCCUGUUCUUGCCCUGGGUCAUCCUGCACUCAGUGUUGACUUUGUGGCAUCUACUGAAAUACUUUCAGAAGGCAGAUACAUGGUUGAUGGAGCUGGGGUUGCCUGUCUCACUGACAGAAUGGUCAGAAUUCAGCCACUUAGAACCAGCAACUAGCCUACUUUUACUUGCUUUAAAAGGAAUCAAGACUCUUUGGGCUUCCAUGGAAAUAAGAUUUGUACCAUAUGUCUAAGUUGUGCAUGCCAAGGAUAAUGGAAACAAGACUGGCGAGGGGAGGCAUGGGUAGGACUUAAAAAUUCCAGAGGUCUGCAAAGGUUUCUUCUCAGGAUAUAUGAAAAACCAUCACAUAUCAUGCUGAAAUCAAGAUAAUAAUACCCUAUACCUGCUUUAAGGCCCAGCAAUUCCACUUCUAUGUAUUUAUCCAGGAGAAAUAAAAACACGUCUACUAAAAGACUCAUACAAGAAUGUUUAUGGAAACCAUAUUCACAAUAACCCCAAGCUGGAAAUGACCCAUAUGUCCAUUAAUAAGAGAACAGAUCAACAAAAUGUGGUAUAUGCAUACAAGGGGAUACUCCUCAGGAAUAAAAAAGGAACAAACUACUGGUAUGUGCAACACAGAUGAGUCUUGAAAACAUAUUGAGUAAAAGAAGCUUUAUAUAAAAGAGUACCUACUGCAUGAUUCCAUUCAUGUGGAGUUCUAGAACAGUUACAACCAACCUAUGGUGCAAAAAAUUAGAACAGUGACCAUCUCUGCGGGUGAGAAAAGGCAACUUUCUAGGAUGAUGAUCAUGUUUUCUAUCUUGAUAGCAGUUUGAGUUAGACAGACGUUAUGGACCAAAUUGUCUUCCCACAAAAUAUGUAUGUGGAAGCUCUAACUCCCAAUGUGACCAUGUUUGGAGACAGGGCUUUUAGGAGAUAGUUAAAUUUAUAUGAGAUUGUAAGAGUGGGGUCCUAAUCCAAUAGGACUGGUGGCCUUAUAAGAAGAGAAUCUCUCUCUCUCUCUCUGUCUGUCUUUCUCUCUUUAUCUCUCAUGAGAACAUAGAAGGCAGACACCUGCAAGCCAGAAAGAGAGCUCGCACUAGAAGCUAACCAUACUUACUCAUGGAUCUUGGAAUCUGAAGCCUCUAGAACUAUGAGAAAAUAAAUAUUGUUGUUUAAGCCACCCAGUCUAUGAUAUUUUGUGAUGGCAGCCUGAGCAGACUAAUGCAACACAUGCAUCCAUAAACACAACAACGUAGCCAGCACUCUGACCAGUGUACCCAAGCAGUCCCCUGUGCUAGCUUCCAGUUACCACCUUCUAAGGUAAACAUGCUCCUGAUUUUUAACACCAUCAAUAAUGAUACGACUUGCCUGCUUUUGAGUUUCACAGAAAUAGAAGCCUAAAGAAAAAUACUAAGAUAAUAAUACUAUAACUCAUUGUUUUGUUUUCAGGAGUGAAUGAGGUAACAUAGUAUACUUGGAAGAGUGCCUGGCAAGUAUUGGAUGUUGAAAUAUUGGUUCUCUUCUAUGACCUCUUUCUUCUUCCUGGUCACAGCAUGUAGCAGGUGGCUUAAUAAAGCAAGUUCUGUCUAUAUGACCUCCAUGAAAAGUGAACAGCCCUGCUCACUGCUCACUGACCAGCUGAUCUUCCACACACCCGAGUCUCUGAGAUGGAGCUAAAACAACUGUAUGCCUGGUUGAAAUGUCUACUUCCCAUUCAGAUAUUUAGACCUUGGUUAGACACCCACUAAAUGAGGCAUGUCUGUGCAAAAGCAUUCCAAACUGAGCAGAUGCAAAGAAAUAUUAUCCUUUAGAACCCAUUUGAUCCCUUUUUUAAACCCAAGAAAACAUAAAUGCAACAAUAGAUCAAUUUGACUGUAAAUAUUAUCUAAGUAUGUCCUUUAAAAGCCAAAGGAAUGUCAGAUACAAUUUAUUUUCCACCAGUGCAAGCUGAGACAUUAAGUGGCAAUUCUACUUCCAUUAGCUAAAUCUGGCAAAUAUGCAACUGUUUAAAGGCAUUGUCGAUAGCCAUUCACGAUUAAGUAUUUGUACUGAUGCCUUAUUAAAUUACCCUUUUCAAGUAGGCAUAAUAAACUAGGAGUUCACUGUGCAGAUUUUCAUGGGGAAAGUCAGAUCACUAUGGAAUUUAUUUAGAGAGAAUUUAGUGCACUGAGUAAUGAAGUAAAUGUCAAAUGUUUUGACCAAAUAAAUCUUAUCUUCCUUAAAACUUUUUUUUGAGGUCAAGAGACACAGCAAAAUAAAAAUCCCAGUGAUUAUAAUGGUCAUAAUUUAUAACUUUAUUGAAACAACUUUAAAACUUUGAUUGUUUUUUAAAUAAUGAAAUCUGUUUUGUUUUUAACUGACAGCAUUGCCCUACACAGGGGAUUUCUACUCUUCCUUUACAAAGCUGGUUUCUUCCAAACAUUAAGAUCUCUUACAGGGACUGAAUGAUAAAUGGAUGAAUGAGGAGGAUGAUGAAGGGGGAAGGUGAUGGAAGAAUUAGGACAAGGAGGCUAUGCAGGAGAUUGGUAAGCAAUGAGCUAAGAAGGCUUUGAGACCUAUUGAGAGAUUCUAAACUCCUGGAUGGGCCUAUCUGCAUUUUGUCUGCAAAGCAAUGGUAACUAGAAAAUUGGGCUGGGCGUGGUGGCUCACGCGUGUAAUCUCAGCACCUUGGGAGGCUGAGGGGGG